RNAcentral lists this ribosomal RNA (253 nucleotides) under uncultured bacterium. Its description in RNAcentral is "partial 16S ribosomal RNA". It matches the Rfam family "Bacterial small subunit ribosomal RNA", at positions 524 to 776 of the family's 1533-position model. The record is from RNAcentral.
UACGUAGGGUGCGAGCGUUGUCCGGAAUUAUUGGGCGUAAAGGGCUCGUAGGCGGUCUGUCGCGUCGGGCGUGAAAACUCAGGGCUUAACCCCGAGCCUGCUUCCGAUACGGGCAGACUAGAGGUAUGCAGGGGAGAAUGGAAUUCCUGGUGUAGCGGUGAAAUGCGCAGAUAUCAGGAGGAACACCGGUGGCGAAGGCGGUUCUCUGGGCAUUACCUGACGCUGAGGAGCGAAAGUGUGGGGAGCGAACAGG